Non-coding RNA from Ceratotherium simum simum (southern white rhinoceros), 80 nucleotides. NCBI's taxonomy places the organism in Eukaryota, Metazoa, Chordata, Mammalia, Perissodactyla, Rhinocerotidae. The record is from RefSeq and is a predicted model, not a curated record.
GGAAAUUCUGGAAAGGGGGGUCCUCCACCUCAGUGAGGCAGCUGAGGCCUGCUGGCUGAACCUCUAAGGGACCUGCCAGG